UACGUAGGUGGCAAGCGUUGUCCGGAUUUACUGGGCGUAAAGGGCGUGCAGGCGGUUUGUUAAGUCUAGGGUGAAAGCUCCCGGCUCAACUGGGAGAGGUCCUUGGAUACUGGCGAACUUGAGGGAUGCAGAGGAAAGUGGAAUUCCCGGUGUAGUGGUGAUAUGCGUAGAUAUCGGGAGGAACACCAGUGGCGAAGGCGGCUUUCUGGGCAUUUCCUGACGCUGAGACGCGAAAGCGUGGGGAGCAAACAGG
RNAcentral lists this ribosomal RNA (253 nucleotides) under uncultured bacterium. RNAcentral describes it as "partial 16S ribosomal RNA". It matches the Rfam family "Bacterial small subunit ribosomal RNA", at positions 524 to 776 of the family's 1533-position model. The record is from RNAcentral.